This 541-nucleotide unclassified non-coding RNA is filed under the name Hevea brasiliensis (rubber tree). Lineage: Eukaryota; Viridiplantae; Streptophyta; Magnoliopsida; Malpighiales; Euphorbiaceae. The record is from RNAcentral.
UAAUGGCACAGAAUAUGUUAAUGGAGUUUUUCGUGCUUAUCUAGACUCUAAUGGUAUAUUACAUCAUACUAGUUGUGUUAGCACAAGUGAGCAUAAUGGGGUAUCUGAGAGGAAGAACGGACAUUUACUAGAGGUGGAUAGGUCUCUAAUGUUCAUUAUGAAUCUCCCUAAACCUUAUUGGGGUGAUGCUGUUUUAGCUGCAACUUAUCUUAUCAAUAGAAUGCAACUUAGAACAUUAAAUUUUAAGAGUCCUUUAGAAGUCCUACAGGGUACCAAUUCUUAUGUUGUUCCACCAAAGAUCUUUGGGUAUGUUUGUUUUGUUCAUAAAACUAAUAUGGGGAAGCUAGAACCUAGAGCUCUUACGUUUGUGUUUGUUGGAUAUUCUGGAACUCAACAAGGGUAUAAAUGUUAUCAUCCUCCAUCCAAAAAGUACUUUGUGAGCAUGGAUGUUGCUUUUAGGGAAACUGAAUCUUAUUUCUCUACACAGUCACCUCUUCAGGGGGAGCAUAGAGAGGAAGAGUUGUCUUUUAACCAACCUUUU